RNAcentral lists this long non-coding RNA (986 nucleotides) under Homo sapiens (human). RNAcentral's name for it is "HSALNT0008583". Lineage: Eukaryota; Metazoa; Chordata; Mammalia; Primates; Hominidae. The record is from RNAcentral.
AAAAGAACACUUUGAACAAAGACCUAAAGGCAAGGGAGUUAAUAACAGGGGAGAUCUGUGGAACUAUGUCCUGGAAAGAUAAAGCAGCAAGUACAGAGACUAGGAAUUGAAGGAAGAUUCUGUGUGCUCUAUGAAGCAAAGAAGCCAGUAAGGCUAGAAAAGAUGCACAUGGAGGAGAGAGGGGAUGAAGUUAGGGAGCUAAUGGAAGAAAAAUCAUGCAAAGCCUUAUAGACUGCUGUGAGGACUUCAUUUUUCUUUUUCUCUGAGUGAAAUGGUUUGCAGAAGAUAAAGGAAAUUCCCAAGCAAAAACAGUAUCAAAAAUAUUAAAGUAACAGUCAUAAGUGUUAAAUAUAUGCAUAAUGCAAAGUGGUCAUCAGUGCAACUGCCAGUUAUUGAAAGACUAAUCUUUGAGAUAGCAGCAAGUUGUUGGAGCUGAAUCUGAGUCAUCAGGAAAAUCAAUGGAAAGGAUCAAAGAAGUUCAAAGACAGAAGAUUCCUGUUGUUGUUAAAUGAAGCAAACAUUAAAUCUCUAAAUGAAGCAAUAAUUAAUUUUAGCUCCUAUUGUUUAGCACAGAUUAAAAUCAACUAAGACUGGACUCAAAAUCAAAGAAUAGCAAGUACAUAUGAAAACAUUAUAGAAGGGUAAUAGCUAAUAACACAGCGAUCGUCAAAUGUAGAUCUUAGGCAUAUAAUGUUUAAUAAGUAUGUAUGAUAUAUUUUUAAAAAUAAACAAUGGACUAAAAAUGAUGAGUAUGCAAUAGGGAUUAUCCCACAUAAUUAGGUAGAUUUAAAAAUUAAUAGCUAGAACAAUUGUAUUAGUCUGUUCUCUUAUUGCUAUAAUGAAAUAACUGAGACUAGGCAAUUUAUAAAGAAAACAGGUUUAAUUCAGUUCCUGGUUCUGCAGGCUGUAUAGGAAGCAUAGUGGCUUCUGCUUGGCUCCUGGGGAGGCCUCAGAAAAUUAACAAUCAUGGCAGAAGGUGAAGCGAU